CUCAGCCUUGUGUCCAAAUGCAACUUUGAAGGGAGAUGGAGUGAAGCUGCAGCAGUUCCUUGGCCUGUUUGUGCACUGUGUUGUCCCUCUUUGCUCAAGCCAGAGAUAACAGUAUAGGACAUGAUAAACUUCAACUAGUGUAUGUGAGAACAGCAACUAAAGGAGACUCCACAUAAAGAAAAUACUGUGUCGCAGUGGGAAAACACCAGCACCUACUUCAGCUCUGCUCUGCCAGAGCUCUCUGCCAGCGUAUGCAAAGAUUGUGCUGAAAUGCUUAAAGCUGGUGCACACCAGAAGGAAACAAAUAUGUGCAGGGAGGAGGUGGCCUGAUUCUGCUGUCCUAAUUUGCCUAAGGAAAUAUUCAUUUGAUGCCAUGUGCUUCAGGAACACCACUGAGCGAGGUGCUCGUGCUCCCCUACCAUUGCACACUACCAUCUUUGGCUUUUUUGGGAAUA
RNAcentral lists this long non-coding RNA (455 nucleotides) under Calidris pugnax (ruff). Its description in RNAcentral is "lncRNA (ENSCPUG00000014247.1)". Lineage: Eukaryota; Metazoa; Chordata; Aves; Charadriiformes; Scolopacidae. The record is from RNAcentral.